GGCAUCAUAAUCUGGCUUCUUCAGGCUGAUUCCAGCACUGUACUUGGUAAAAGCUCCCGAGGAUGUGUCGAAACCUGUCUCUGCACCAAAAGCAAUGCCAUGGGAACCUACAGUUCCUGAAAGGUCGAGAAUCGGUGACUGCUUGAGAGCCAAGACUGAGGAAAAGCUAGCAUGGUGAUGGAAAUAUUGCACUUCCAGCUUUCCGGAGUUGUAAUCAGGCAAUUUCAGUGUAGCAAUGGCCUUUGUAGAUGGCAGAAACUCUGACACAGUCACAGUUGACGUAACAUUCGAAUCUCCGUCAACUUUUAGAUCAACGAUGGUGUUCUUGUAUUUGUACUGUGAACCAAGGUCAAAUGUAUAAAGUCCCCCUUUUUUCACUGCAUUGGAAGUAAGUCCCACUCCGGCUACGCUGUAGGUCGAGAUACUGAGCUUCUGAUCGUAGCUGUAGUCCCUGGUGAGCAGAUCCUUGGCCUUCUUGCCGAUGUCGGUGAAGAGCCCAGGUCCGGC
This 507-nucleotide unclassified non-coding RNA is filed under the name Hevea brasiliensis (rubber tree). Lineage: Eukaryota; Viridiplantae; Streptophyta; Magnoliopsida; Malpighiales; Euphorbiaceae. The record is from RNAcentral.